Molecule: ribosomal RNA, 450 nt
Filed under: uncultured bacterium
Lineage: Bacteria
Description: partial 16S ribosomal RNA
Rfam family: Bacterial small subunit ribosomal RNA
Source: RNAcentral
GUGGGGAAUUUUGGACAAUGGGGGCAACCCUGAUCCAGCAAUGCCGCGUGCAGGAAGAAGGCCUUCGGGUUGUAAACUGCUUUUGUACGGAACGAAAAGGCUCUGGUUAAUACCUGGGGCACAUGACGGUACCGUAAGAAUAAGCACCGGCUAACUACGUGCCAGCAGCCGCGGUAAUACGUAGGGUGCAAGCGUUAAUCGGAAUUACUGGGCGUAAAGCGUGCGCAAGCGGUUAUGUAAGACAGAUGUGAAAUCCCCGGGCUCAACCUGGGAACUGCGUUUGUGACUGCAUAACUAGAGUACGGCAGAGGGAGGUGGAAUUCCGCGUGUAGCAGUGAAAUGCGUAGAGAUGCGGAGGAACACCGAUGGCGAAGGCAGCCUCCUGGGCCAGUACUGACGCUCAUGCACGAAAGCGUGGGGAGCAAACAGGAUUAGAAACCCGAGUAGUCC